CCUACGGGGGGCUGCAGUAGGGAAUUUUCGUCAAUGGGCGCAAGCCUGAACGAGCAAUGCCGCGUGAGCGAAGAAGGUCUUCGGAUCGUAAAACUCUGUUGCGGGGGAAAAAGGAAGGAAAGAGGAAAUGCUUUUCUUUUGAUGGUACCCCGCCAGAAAGUCACGGCUAACUACGUGCCAGCAGCCGCGGUAAUACGUAGGUGGCAAGCGUUAUCCGGAAUGAUUGGGCGUAAAGGGUGCGCAGGCUGCGCGUCAAGUCUGAAGUGAAAGGUACGGGCUUAACCGGUACAGGCUUUGGAAACUGGCACGCUAGAGGACAGGAGAGGGCGGUGGAACUCCAUGUGUAGCGGUAAAAUGCGUAGAUAUAUGGAAGAACACCAGUUGCGAAGGCGACCGCCUG
RNAcentral lists this ribosomal RNA (400 nucleotides) under uncultured bacterium. RNAcentral's name for it is "bacterial SSU rRNA". It matches the Rfam family "Bacterial small subunit ribosomal RNA", at positions 338 to 731 of the family's 1533-position model. The record is from RNAcentral.